AGGCUUUGAUCCUGGCUCAGGAUGAACGCUAGCGGGAGGCUAAUACAUGCAAGUCGAGCGGUAAAGUGACUUCGGUUACUUGAGAGCGGCGCACGGGUGAGUAACGCGUACAUGACCUACCUGUAAGAAGGGGAUAGCCCUGGGAAACUGGGAUUAAUACCCUAUGGUAUUGGAUUGUAGAAUUCAAUUAAAGCUGAGGCGCUUACAGAUGGGUGUGCGUCUGAUUAGCUAGUUGGUGAGGUAAAGGCUCACCAAGGCGAUGAUCAGUAGGGGGCGUGAGAGCGUGAUCCCCCACACGGGUACUGAGACACGGACCCGACUCCUACGGGAGGCAGCAGUAAGGAAUAUUGGACAAUGCCCGCAAGGGUGAUCCAGCCAUCCCGCGUGCAGGAAGAAUGCCCUAUGGGUUGUAAACUGCUUUUAUAAGGGAAGAAACCCCUGGUUUUAACUGGGGCUGACGGUACCUUAGGAAUAAGCACCGGCUACUCCGUGC
This 493-nucleotide ribosomal RNA is filed under the name uncultured Saprospiraceae bacterium. RNAcentral describes it as "bacterial SSU rRNA". It matches the Rfam family "Bacterial small subunit ribosomal RNA", at positions 8 to 508 of the family's 1533-position model. The record is from RNAcentral. Lineage: Bacteria; Pseudomonadati; Bacteroidota; Saprospiria; Saprospirales; Saprospiraceae.